RNAcentral lists this transfer RNA (75 nucleotides) under Thermosipho melanesiensis. Its description in RNAcentral is "tRNA-Val". It matches the Rfam family "tRNA". Rfam says of the family: Transfer RNA (tRNA) molecules are approximately 80 nucleotides in length. Their secondary structure includes four short double-helical elements and three loops (D, anti-codon, and T loops). Further hydrogen bonds mediate the characteristic L-shaped molecular structure. tRNAs have two regions of fundamental functional importance: the anti-codon, which is responsible for specific mRNA codon recognition, and the 3' end, to which the tRNAs corresponding amino acid is attached (by aminoacyl-tRNA synthetases). tRNAs cope with the degeneracy of the genetic code in two manners: having more than one tRNA (with a specific anti-codon) for a particular amino acid; and 'wobble' base-pairing, i.e. permitting non-standard base-pairing at the 3rd anti-codon position. Lineage: Bacteria; Thermotogati; Thermotogota; Thermotogae; Thermotogales; Fervidobacteriaceae. RNAcentral also lists the same sequence under 4 other names. The record is from RNAcentral.
GGGUGCGUAGCUCAGUGGGAGAGCGCUUCCUUGACGCGGAAGAGGUCGCAGGUUCAAUCCCUGCCGCACCCACCA